Molecule: long non-coding RNA, 390 nt
Organism: Dreissena polymorpha
Lineage: Eukaryota; Metazoa; Mollusca; Bivalvia; Myida; Dreissenidae
Exons: 4
Source: RefSeq, a predicted model, not a curated record
UCAUCUCAGGUUAGCCUUUGCUGACUGCACAAUCUGGGAAAGUGUCAUCUCAGGUUAGCCUUUGCUGACUGCACAAUCUGGGAAAGUGUCAUCUCAGGUUAGCCUUUGCUGACUGCACAAUCUGGGAAAGUGUCAUCUCAGGUUAGCCUUUGCUGACUGCACAAUCUGGGAAAGUGUCAUCUCAGGUUAGCCUUUGCUGACUGCACAAUCUGGGAAAGUGUCAACUCAGGUUAGCCUUUGCUGACUGCACAAUCUGGGAAAGUGUCAUCUCAGGUUAGCCUUUGCUGACUGCACAAUCUGGGAAAGUGUCAUCUCAGGUUAGCCUUUGCUGACUGCACAAUCUGGGAAAGUGUCAUCUCAGGUUAGCCUUUGCUGACUGCACAAUCUGGG